UUAGGAAUAUUCGUCAAUGGGGGAAACCCUGAACGAGCAAUGCCGCGUGAGUGAUGACGGUCUUUAUGAUUGUAAAACUCUGUUGUUAGGGAAGAAACCUUAUCAUAGGAAAUGAUGAUAAGCUGACGGUACCUUUCCAGAAAGCCCCGGCUAACUACGUGCCAGCAGCCGCGGUAAUACGUAGGGGGCGAGCGUUAUCCGGAUUUAUUGGGCGUAAAGCGUGUGUAGGCGGUUUAUUAAGUAUAAGAUAAAAGCCUGAGGCUCAACCUCAGUUCGUCUUAUAAACUGGUAGACUUGAGUGUGGUAGAGGCAAGUGGAAUUUCUAGUGUAGCGGUUAAAUGCGUAGAUAUUAGAAGGAACACCAGUGGCGAAGGCGGCUUGCUGGGCCAUUACUGACGCUGAGACACGAAAGCGUGGGGAGCAAAUAGG
Molecule: ribosomal RNA, 429 nt
Filed under: uncultured bacterium
Lineage: Bacteria
Description: bacterial SSU rRNA
Rfam family: Bacterial small subunit ribosomal RNA
Source: RNAcentral